Molecule: long non-coding RNA, 793 nt
Organism: Salvia miltiorrhiza (redroot sage)
Lineage: Eukaryota; Viridiplantae; Streptophyta; Magnoliopsida; Lamiales; Lamiaceae
Exons: 2
Source: RefSeq, a predicted model, not a curated record
UCAAAUGGCCCAACUCUUUUUCUUCCUUAACAAUCAUCCGCUCUCUUUCUCUCUCUCAGAAACGCUCACAGCUCCCUUCCGUAAGGGCGGCUUCGUCCGCCUCCUGCUCCGGCCGGCGUCGGUCGUCGCCGCGCCUGAGCCCGGCGCUCUUCUCUCUCUUGUCCGCCUUCGAUUUCCUCAUGAAACCGAGCUUCCAUCUCCCUCUCCUCUUUCGAUUUCGGAGGCUCCGUCUCUCUCCCUCACGCUGAAGUUCCGCCGCCGCCUUGUGAAGGCCGGCGAGCGGCGCCGCCUCACUCCCUCUCUCACUCCACACCUCUCAAAUUCUCAAUUCAGCCUAUCAUCUUCUGCAAAUUUCGAGCCCUAGCUCUAUCUCUGAAAUCGCAGCGCCGUCACCUCGGAUCUGAAAAUCCGGCGAGGCCGACGCUAAAUUACUCAACCGGAAACAAAUUCGACUGCUCCUCUCUUCCCCGUGUUGUAGCAGAUCAGUCGUCGUUGUUGGGUCUGUAAACCCAGCGACUAGCGGUCGCCGUUUGUCCUUGGCGCCGCUCUCCCCAUUCUUCAGCAAGAUACUAUCUUGCUGAAGCCGCUGCUCCGGCUUCUGAACCAUCGCUGCCCCUGCUCGAACUCCGGCGAGCCAGCAUCAUUCAAGGCAAAGCUAAGUGAACUAUGGAAGAAUGGGGAAGUUCAAGCUACAACUUACCUCUUCGAAAUCAAGGCUGGAGUUAAAAGAAACAACCCUCCCUCUCUGAACCUUGGUGCGCCUAAAAGAAGGAAAAGAAUUAUGGCUGGUGUU